CAAGUGAAGGCAUAAAGAGCCUGAUUUACUAACAUCCCAGACGACGAGCACUAAACUGCGUGGACAAUCCAAACUUUUGUGCGUUGGGGUGGAGACAGUUUU
This is a long non-coding RNA of Thalassophryne amazonica, 102 nucleotides long. RefSeq lists it as uncharacterized. Lineage: Eukaryota; Metazoa; Chordata; Actinopteri; Batrachoidiformes; Batrachoididae. The transcript has 3 exons. The record is from RefSeq and is a predicted model, not a curated record.